GUGGGGAAUAUUGCACAAUGGGCGAAAGCCUGAUGCAGCAACGCCGCGUGAGGGACGACGGCCUUCGGGUUGUAAACCUCUUUUAGUAGGGAAGAAGCGAAAGUGACGGUACCUGCAGAAAAAGCACCGGCUAACUACGUGCCAGCAGCCGCGGUAAUACGUAGGGUGCAAGCGUUAUCCGGAAUUAUUGGACGUAAAGAGCUCGUAGGCGGUCUGUCGCGUCUGCUGUGAAAACUGGAGGCUCAACCUCCAGCCUGCAGUGGGUACGGGCAGACUAGAGUGCGGUAGGGGGGAUUGGAAUUCCUGGUGUAGCGGUGGAAUGCGCAGAUAUCAGGAGGAACACCGAUGGCGAAGGCAGAUCUCUGGGCCGUAACUGACGCUGAGGAGCGAAAGCGUGGGGAGCGAACAGGAUUAGAUACCCUGGUAGUCC
RNAcentral lists this ribosomal RNA (430 nucleotides) under uncultured bacterium. Its description in RNAcentral is "partial 16S ribosomal RNA". It matches the Rfam family "Bacterial small subunit ribosomal RNA", at positions 354 to 796 of the family's 1533-position model. The record is from RNAcentral.